Molecule: ribosomal RNA, 849 nt
Filed under: Triticum aestivum (bread wheat)
Lineage: Eukaryota; Viridiplantae; Streptophyta; Magnoliopsida; Poales; Poaceae
Description: partial small subunit ribosomal RNA
Source: RNAcentral
AUGGCUAGUGCAAAUGAUAUGUGGGAGAAGAAGCUGCAGGAUCCAAGUGCAACUCCAGUGUGUCUGCCACUAGAAUUUUUGAAAGCCAUCACAUGUGAUUUUUCCUCCGAGCGAGAACUCGGCAGGGGUGGGUACGGAGUAGUUUACAAGGGAAUUCUUUCAGAUGGGAAAAGCAUUGCUGUAAAGAAGCUUUUUCACUUACAUGGGCUGGGAGAUGAAAAAUUCCUAAAAGAGGUCAAUUCUCUUAUGAUGACCAAGCACCAGAAUGUAGUGCAGUUUGUUGGUUACUGUGCUGUAUCAAGUGCCGAGGCGGUGGAAUACCCGCAAGGAGGAAGCAAUUAUAUUUUGGCCGAAAGACCAGAAAGAUUGCUUUGCUUUGAGCAUGUAUGUAAUAGAAGCCUUGACAAGUAUAUCUCCGAUGAAUCUUCGGGCCUUGAGUGGAAAAUGAGAUAUAAAAUAAUCAGGGGCAUCUGUGCUGGUUUGCAUUACCUUCAUGAGGAAUGCCAUCUUGUUCAUCUAGACCUGAAGCCUCAAGAUAUAUUGAUGGAUGCUAUUAUGAUGCCAAAGAUUGCGGCCUUUGGUUUGUCAAGGAUAUUUGGUGUUGAGCAAACCCGAACCAUCACUCAAAAUCGUCAGGGAACGAUGGAUAUAUGGCGCCAGAGUACUCAAUUCAAGGCACUAUCUCCGUCAAGGCAGAUAUAUACAGUUUGGGUGUCACCAUUAUUGAGAUACUCACCGGUUCUAGAGACUAUCCCCUACACUUCAACGAGGACAACAGUCCCCAUAGUACAGACACAUCUUUCCAGCACUUCAAAGACAGAAUACUUGGAGCUUGGAGAAAUAGGCUGA